GAAUUCUUUCUAGCGCCAGAACUUUGAAUAGUUGACGAGGAUAGUAGUGAUCGAAAAUUCGGCGGAUGCUACUACGUAGGGAAGAUGCGUUAGGUAUGUCUAAAAAGCAAAAUCGACAUUGUAACAACAGAUGUAUCACUUUUCAGA
This 147-nucleotide non-coding RNA is filed under the name Bacillus sp. (in: firmicutes). RNAcentral's name for it is "Bacillus sp. GlcN6P sequence". It matches the Rfam family "glmS glucosamine-6-phosphate activated ribozyme aptamer". Rfam says of the family: This entry contains a glucosamine-6-phosphate activated ribozyme that is found in the mRNA for GlmS. GlmS is an enzyme that uses fructose-6-phosphate and glutamine to generate glucosamine-6-phosphate. The ribozyme catalyses self cleavage of the glmS mRNA that is thought to regulate GlmS activity. Lineage: Bacteria; Bacillati; Bacillota; Bacilli; Caryophanales; Bacillaceae. The record is from RNAcentral.